CCCUUAGAUGUUCUGGGCUGCACGCGCGCUACACUGACACUAUCAACGAGUGCUCCUGGUUUGAAAGGAUCGGGUAAUCUUUUGAAAUGGUGUCGUGAUGGGGAUAGAUCAUUGCAAUUAUUGAUCUUGAACGAGGAAUUCCUAGUAAAUGUGAGUCAUCAGCUCACGUUGAUUACGUCCCUGCCCUUUGUACACACCGCCCGUCGCUCCUACCGAUUGAGUGAACCGAUGAGUAGUCCGGAUUGCGAUCGACCUCGGUUAAUCGCGAGAAGUUCCGCAAAUCACUUCGCUUAGAGGAAGGAGAAGUCGUAACA
Molecule: ribosomal RNA, 314 nt
Filed under: uncultured eukaryote
Lineage: Eukaryota
Description: partial 18S ribosomal RNA
Rfam family: Eukaryotic small subunit ribosomal RNA
Source: RNAcentral